UGUCCAGUAGCACCUUAGAGACCAACUAAGUUUGCUCUUGGUAUAAGCUUUCGUGUACAUGCACACACAAAAGCUUAUACCAAGAACAAACUUAGUUGGUCUCUAAGGUGCUACUGGACA
RNAcentral lists this microRNA precursor (120 nucleotides) under Podarcis lilfordi (Lilford's wall lizard). Lineage: Eukaryota; Metazoa; Chordata; Lepidosauria; Squamata; Lacertidae. The record is from RNAcentral.